RNAcentral lists this unclassified non-coding RNA (230 nucleotides) under Hevea brasiliensis (rubber tree). Lineage: Eukaryota; Viridiplantae; Streptophyta; Magnoliopsida; Malpighiales; Euphorbiaceae. The record is from RNAcentral.
UUCUUUUUCUUCUUCUUUUUCUCUUUCUUAUCAUCUUCACUUUCUUCAACCCUCCCUUCCUUUACUUUCUUCACCACAACUGUCUCUUCCUUUUCAACUUCUUCGACUUUAACUUUCUUAGCCGGAACUUGAACAGUAGGGCUAUCAGUGCUUUCAUCCAAUUUGCGCUUGCGCCCCUCCCCAUCUUCACCAUCCUUGCUUUUCUUCUUCUUCUUCUUCUUCUCCUCCUC